UACGUAGGGUGCGAGCGUUAAUCGGAAUUACUGGGCGUAAAGCGUGCGCAGGCGGUUCGUUAAGUCAGAUGUGAAAGCCCCGGGCUCAACCUGGGAACUGCAUUUGAAACUGGCGGGCUUGAGUAUGGCAGAGGGGGGUGGAAUUCCGCGUGUAGCAGUGAAAUGCGUAGAGAUCCGGAGGAACACCAGUGGCGAAGGCGACACGCUGGGCCGUACCUGACGCUAAAGCGCGACAGCAUGGGGAGCAAACGGG
This 253-nucleotide ribosomal RNA is filed under the name uncultured bacterium. RNAcentral's name for it is "partial 16S ribosomal RNA". It matches the Rfam family "Bacterial small subunit ribosomal RNA", at positions 524 to 776 of the family's 1533-position model. The record is from RNAcentral.